Molecule: long non-coding RNA, 304 nt
Filed under: Triticum aestivum (bread wheat)
Lineage: Eukaryota; Viridiplantae; Streptophyta; Magnoliopsida; Poales; Poaceae
Description: long non-coding RNA (TAES_LNC020856)
Source: RNAcentral
CUCUGGCUGCAAACAACAUCCAGAACGCACAGAGACACAGAUCGCGAGCGAGCGCGCACCCGUUAAUCGCUUCAUCUUUUUGCAUUCCACCUAGAGAGCCUUUCGCGUCCACGAACCGAACCAACAAUGGCCGCCGUGGAGGAUGAGACGCUGAGGGCGUUCGAAGAGGAGGACGACGCCAUGAUGAAUGAGCCGGACGGCGAGCCCAUGGACGACGAGGAGGAGGCCGACUCCCCGGCGACGAUGAAGGUCGGCGAGGAGAAGGAGAUCGGGAAGCAGGGGCUGAAGAAGAAGCUCGUCAAGG